GUUAAGAAAACCUUAAAAAACUCACAAUGCUAUAAUAGCUAAACUAACUUAUAAAUUUGUGAAUUAUAUUUUGAGUCACUAGUGUAAAUUUCUCCCCAUUGUUACAUUUAACUAAAGAAUUAAGAACCAUUAGGAUUUAAUGAACAGAAUAAAAAAAAGCUACCUAGAUUUACAACCACUAUAUUAAUUUUAUUAAUGAAAAUCAUAUAAAACUUCAAUUGCGUGGGUCCGACAAAAUCACUUGUACAAAUUAUUCAAUAAUAAAGAGUGUAAAAAUACAGUUUUUAACAGAAAAAAAAAAAGAGUGCAAGUCUAUUAUUUUGACAGUUUGCAUUUGCAUGAUGAACAUAGACAGAGUUUAUGUUUAUGGCAAUUACCCGAUAUGCAAAGUUAUAAUUCUGUAUGAAAUAAUGGAUUUGGUGAUGCAAAGAUAGAAAUGUGGUAAGUAGUUGGUAGUAAAUAAGAGUAGUAAUAAAUAAAAGUUGGCACAGAUUCAUUCGAUUGCACAGUAUAAUCCAUUUAUCGGAAAUAACAACAAUAAAUUCAUGUAAAAGUAGGUAGGAUAAUCCUAGCUACCAAAAAUUGUUCGUCAUUAGAUGGUUUGCUUACAUCACUCUUUGAAUCUCCUCUCCUGUGUCUGGCCACCACAAAACCAAGAAAGGACACUGCCAUGAGACUAAAAGAACAGUGUUUCACUUUCCCUGUCCCUCUCUUUUCAUUUGCCUUGUGCGCUUAGUUGUUACAUUCUGACGGAAAAGCUUGCAACCCCAUUUCUUUAUUUACUCUCCUUUCUCCUCACAUUAGCCUUCUCCUAUUAAAAUAGCUAAAAAGCAAAGGGCUUUCUCUGAAAAUGUUUCUGAGGUUACCUGCCAUGAACAGGAGUUUGAACAGAGAGAAUCCAUAUAUUUUGAUUAUGAUGAUUGCAGGGAAACAGAUAAUAAGGGGUGUUGAGGAGGACAAAAGAGAUCAGAGAGAGAGCCAAGACAUGGGCCCAGUAAAGCCUGCAACACAAAUGAGUGCCACUGCACCAAACACUGAUCUCUUCACCCUUCUCCUCCAUCUUCCCCUCUUUUCUGCCUCUUUACCUUUCCCUCUUAAUUUAUGGCUUUUUUUGUAUUUCCAUUCGUCUCCAACAUCCCCACUUCCUUUUUCAUUCUCUUUUCGACUUUGACUCACUUUUUUCCUUUCCAUGCUCUUCUUCUUCUUCAACUUCUUGUCUUUAAUGUGCAAGGCUAGAGGAAAGCUUGAUGGGGUCUAAGGAAACCACACUCUUGUUUUGGGGUUUCGACGCUUGAAGAAAAAGAUUUUUCUGUUCAUGCAAAAGAAACCAACACAACUUUCGUGUAGCCUUCUUUUUCAUUUUCCUUUCACAUUCUUGUAGGUUCUCCAAAGACAACAUAUAUUGGCAAGGAGUUGUUAAGUGAAGGUCGGUUGUGCUAGCUCUUCACGUCUAUUGUCUGUCAGUUGAUAUUUAUAUAACUAAUCUAAAAGCACUCUUUGAUUAUCUUUUAUUUAUCCAUUUGCUUAUUUUAUCAUUUCAGUUUUGUUUUCUAGUUUAUCAAAGUAAACCUUUUCAGGAAGACAACUUCUAAAUCAAUAGCCUCAUUUAUUAAUUACUUGUUAUCUGAUGGAGAGAGAGAUGUAUAUCGCUCCACUGGAGAUUUCUGGUCGAGGUGAUACAGUAAUAGAUGAAAUAUCCCAACAUCCCACCUCAAAUCCUCUCAUUCAGUGCUAUUCACUUGACCUUAACAACCAAUCCCACAUCAUAAAUGGAAUUUCAAUGCUUUCUGGAGAGCAAGGUGAACCUACAAGUAAUGUCCAUACUGAUGCUUGCUUCAUUACUCCAUCAACUAUUGCUGACUCCUGUCCAUUAGUUACAUCACGGAGAAAGAUUAUUGUGGGAGAUGCCUCAAAUCCCAUGGAGAACUCUGAUUUUCAAGAGCAUUUAGUUGGAGGAGUGCCCCUCACUCCUGCUUCGCUAGCUGCCAUUCUUGCUGAUAGAAUUGGACUUGAAGAAAAUUUGGAGAAUUCAGCCGCCGCCCUAGCUCCCUCAAUCUUCUCCACGGGGGCACUAGAGGUAUUCUUCAACAAUUUGCAUGGUACUUCAAACCCUUUGUCUGGAAUUUUUGAGGAGUGUGGGUACAAUGAAGGUCCUAGUAAGUGGAAUGCUAACAAAUUUCCUAAAGCUCCAGAGAAUGAUGGAACUUGUCAGCCUUAUUCUUCUGUGGCAAACUUGGAUCCAAAUGAAUGGGCAACAUCAAACGUUGCAAACAUGGCCAAUUAUGCUCACUAUUCCUCUACUUUUAGUAAAGAACUUUCUCUGAGUCUUGCAACAUCUACAGCCGCAGGACAGUGCUCAAACGUGACUUGCUCUAAUAUGACCCCGUGCAUGAAUGGAACCAUUUCCUGCAGCAGUAGUAGGGAAAUUUCUAUGAAUUUGGGUGGUAAUAAAUAUGCACAAAUUUCACCGGAAGUACUGGAAUCGAGAUACCUUCUUGGGAUUCAAGAGAUACUUGCUCAAGUUGCAAGAUAUUCAUUUCAAAAUCCUGAACAGUUAAACUAUUCAGCCACUGGUAAUAGAGCAGGUGGACACAAGUCAACUUCAGCGUUUCCACCCAAGAGAAACAUCUUGACAGAUCACAAUGCAAGUUCUGUUUACGAAUCUCAUGCAGAGUCUCCAUUGCAAAGGCAGGCUUCUGAAUCUAAGAAAGCUCAACUGCUGGCACUUCUACAACUGGUAUGACACUGCAUCAUAAAUUAAUUCUUUUGAUGUUCAUAUUAAUUAUGGUCAUGAACAGAAUCAUGUUAGUAAUACAUUGCACUUGUCCACGUUCAGAUUCAUGGAUGGUAUAUAAAUUGCUAAAGUUGGUUCAUAAUAAUGGUCUAAAAAACGGAUAAGUAGAGGUGUUUAAGAGUAGAACAUGUAAGUAUUCAUCAUGAAAUAUUGUCAUACUACUAACUAGCAAGCUCUUUCUUAAACAGGUGGACAGUCGAUACAGCCAGUGUUUGGAUGAGAUACAUACUGUUGUAUCUGCAUUCCAUGCAGCUACCGAGCUGGACCCACAGAUACAUGCACAUUUUGCUCUUCAAACCAUCUCUGUCCUUUACAAGGACUUACGGGAGAGGAUUAGCAACUACAUUCUUGCCAUGGGAUCAAGCUUCAAAAAAUCGUGCACGGAAGACAGUGAAUGGUCCAUUGAAACUUCAUUCCUUCAAAAGCAAUGGGCUCUCCAGCAGUUGAAAAGAAAAGAUCAGCUGUGGAGGCCCCAGAGAGGCUUGCCGGAAAGAUCUGUCUCGGUUCUACGGGCAUGGAUGUUUCAGAAUUUCCUACACCCGUGAGUUUCAAAUAUGCAAUAUGCCUUCUUGGACUGGCUCUAUACUUCAAUCAUCAGAGUUUUAUCCAUGAAACGAAUUUAAAGAAUAUAUGUAAAGCAAGUAUUUAUUUAUUAUUUGAUGGAUUUCAGGUAUCCCAAAGAUGCAGAGAAGCAUUUACUUGCAGUGAAAAGUGGGUUGACUAGAAGUCAGGUAUUUAUCUACUUGUUUGUUUGUUAUUUUGUUCAAAGAUGAACAAUCUGAUAUGCUUGCUUGGUUGUGUCUUGAAACUCAGGUAUCCAACUGGUUUAUAAAUGCUCGUGUGCGGCUGUGGAAACCUAUGAUUGAAGAGAUGUAUGCUGAAAUGAACAAAAGAAAGGCCUGUCGAAAUGAAGAAGAAAUCCAGAAUAACCAUGGAAACAGGAUAAGCAUGAGUAAUCAAAGGUUUAAUGUUAACUAAAGGUGUACGAAGUCGCAUAACGAUAUAAAUCACCUUUUUUCUUUAUUCAAAUAGAAAACAGAACUGAGGCCAAAAUCUGAGCUUAUUGUUUUGCAUGGUAGGUAGGGUAUAUUAUUUAUGAGGAUGUCCUGUCCAUGAAGAAAAUAGAAUCUUAGAAAAUUUCACGACAUUUAUUUGUCCAUCCGUUCUAGAACUCGUCUUAUUUUUGCUUAUUUUUUAUUCCAUGGCGAUGCACCAGUAAAUGGGUGAAGCUGUAAAAGCGGAUAAGGUUCUUAAGAAGGUAAAGUCCAACAUUGAAAGAGGCUCGUGUUAAGGCAAAGUACCAGGUUGACGCCAUUAGUCAUGCCAUGGAGGUUUGGGCAUACCUGCAAGAACUAUCAAGUUCGUCAUUGUAGAAAAAAACUAUUACAUAUACUAUCUAUGAUUUUACAAAUUAAUUUCUUAACUCCUUUAACAGGAAAACAAAAUCCCAUGAUGCUUUUAUUAUUUCACUUCAGCCUUUCAGGGUCAGGAAUCUCUUGACGAUAAAUAAACUAUUAAGUAUCAGCAGGUAAAAAGAUACCGACAUGAAAAGGAAUUGAGUGUAAGAUUAAAUGGUGUGCCCACCGUUUUAGCUUUACAGUUGUAACAAAAACUCAUUUUUUAUUUAUCUGUCCAAAAAUAACACUUUUGAAGCUUUAGCAACUAUGUAGACUCGCUAACUUAAGUCUAUGACUACACAAAUAAAAGAAUGACUAUAGCUGCUUUCAAGUAAACUCUUCCCCCUUUUUCUUUCCUCUGUCGAUUCUCUGUUCAUCUCCAUCUAUCUACAAUGACAUGUCCCCCUUCACCAGAAUUUUGACAAAACAAAGAACUAUAAACUUGUGCAACAAUCAAAAUACAAAAUAGGUGCUAAUCUUUAUUCAUCUACGACUACUAACGUACUACAUCUCCACUGAAAUUCGUGUCUUGAUUGGUUUCAAUUUCAAACCCAUGCUCUCCGGGGAAUAAAGCUCAGGAGAAAUGCAAGAGGGACUCAAGGGACUUCUUGGGCUGACACUCAACUUAGAUGGUCUGUACAAGCCAUAUCCCAUGAGAAAGUACUCCAACGGUGUUAACAUGGCAUGAGGUUGCUCCUCUGUUACCAUUGACCCACACGCUUGAACCUGCACAUCCACCCACAAUAGCUAUUAAAUCUAGUUCAUUGUUUAUUGAUAAACACAUUCUUCCACAAAUUAAAAUGAAUAUGAAUUCUCUUACGCACUUCAACUAAGGCACUGAAUCGUCUAUCCAACUUAGAUACCAUGUGGAGAGCCUCAGAGUGAAAAGGAGACAUAUCCCCAACAAAAAUUAGUGAACGACAAUGUAAUUUUCUCAAUCCUUCACUGAUGUCAUGUCUCCUGAAAAAUGCCAAUACAAAGUUAUGGCUGUGUUGCUGUUUCAUAAUAUGUGGAACUAGAGCGUCACCAAAUGCAUUUAUGCAUGAAAAGUGGUAAAUUAACAACGAGUGCAUGUGUAAUUAAAUUCUGAAUCUCCGACUGACGUCUAGCAAUAAUUGGUACCAUGCUGAGAGCAAUGCCACUCCUACCCCCACCACCACCCAACUCAUACAUAUGUAUAAUAAAAUAGAUAGUCACUUUCGAGUUGGAUGAAAACCACUAUUUUGAAGUUUUAUCUUACCCAUUAAUCGCUUCAAGGAACCGCCACACAUUCAAACUCUGCCUCUCAUCCAAUGACUGUCAAGAAAUAUUUAAAAGAGAGUCAGACAAGGGCCCAGUUUCAAAUGCCAACAAACCCAGUCCAUACAUGGAAGCGUAAGAUAAAUUGGGCUAACCCUUUGGCAUGCUUGAACAAUAUCAGACACUGGCAAAUAGUCACUGCCUCGAACUUCCUAUCAUCACCAAUAAAGUUAACGAUUCAACCUAACACUGAAGGAAGGGGAAAUUUUCUUUUCAGGAAUAGGCAUACCUUGCUAAAGUAUCGGUUUAGCAAUAUUUCUUUAACCACCCCACACAUGCCGUAAAAGUAGAGUAAAUUUGACAUGACCUGCAAUUAUUAGUCUUUAGCAAAAGGUGGUAUCUCAUAAAGAGACAAAGGUUCUCAUGUUUAGAAAAAGAACCUUAUUGUACAGCCAUUCAGUCCAAGAUGGUGCUUUACAUAAUGGGGAAACAAGUAUCAAACCAAGAACACGAUGUCUAUAUUUCACCUGUUGUUAAAGUAAGAAAUAUCUGUGAGAUCCCAUUCAGCCAUUUAAGAAUGGUAAAAAGAAAGGAGACAGUGCGACAUAUACAAAGACUCACAGCAAAUAAGGCAAGAAUGUAAGCCCCAGCAGUUACUCCCAUACACAUCACUGCACUCUGACUGCAAAGGAGAGAAGGGAAAUAUAUUAGAUUGCCUUCUCAAGAUCAAGGAGACGCGAUCAGUUGCACAAGUUAUAAACCCGUCACUUUUAAUGCAAAACGGAAGGAUAUUUCAGUUGCAAAUAUAGUAAAUUAAAAGAAAAAAAGCAAAUAUUUCAAAUUGAAGUCAAAUUGAAAUUGAUCUAACAUUUAUCUUCAUGCUACAUAAUGGGAGUGGAGCUGGAAAGGAUGGUUUUAGGGAAUAAGACCCUUGUUUAGGAGUUAAAGGUUUCCAGAGAGUAAGAGAUUGCGAAGGAAACGGCAUAGUUUCUAUACUGGAUAAUUUACAUUCACUAUAGCAACUCAUAACUGGGUUACUUGGAAAUAAAGGUUUUACUGAAAUUAUAAAUUUUCAACAAUAGGGAACGAAUCUGUUUCUAUUUCAUAUUUAGUUCCAUACCCUAUCUUUCCAUUUGAUUUCACUCCAUUAGCUCUAAAACUUUAUACAAUGAACUAAAUGGAAAGAAAUAGUCAGUGAGCUGAAACAUACCCAAAAUAAUUAAGAACUUCGGCUAUUUGAUCAGCUAAGUCGUCAGCAGAAAGAAUUGGACCGUCUGGAUCAAUGGCAGCAGCUCCCAACUGCAAUAAUUCACGAAAAGGUAUAAAAUGAUAAGAAGCUAAAUUAAAAAUAUUUAAAAAUCAGUGGGGAUAAGUAGCAAGAAACAGCCUAUUACAGUUUCAAGAAAUAAAGUUAGAGACCUCAUGCCCAGGUGGACUAAUAUGAUAGAUGCAGAAAUUGUGAAGCAGUAACGAACAGGCUUCUGGACAAAAUAACAACCCUUGAAAGCAGGAAACAUCUGAUGAAAUCACAUGCAAGAAAAUGGUUAGAUUGUUGAUUUGUCAACUAGACAAACAUGGACAAACUUCAUGAGCAUUUCUAAGAGAAAAAAAUAAGAAAAAUUAAAAAAAGUUAUUGUAUAAAUUAAAAUUAGUUUACUGGCAUUCUUUAAUUUGUAAAAACCCUUUUAUAUAGCUUCUAUGAUUUUUUACUUUAUUUUUAACUGGUGCAAAAGUUAAUUUUAGCUUAUAAAGAAGUUUUUUUUUCUUAUUUUUCUUUUUUAGAAGUGUUUAAGAAAAAACUAGAGGCUCAAUGUUAGCAAAGACAUAAAACAUCACUUUAUAUUACAACAUUUUGUGUAUAAAACUUUAUUUUUUUAUUUUUUUUAUAACUAUUAUAUUGGUAAAUCACAGGGCCCCUUCCUUGCUUACUGAACACAAACCACUGUAAUUUAUGAGAUUGCAUGUGAGCUUCUAAGAGAAAACUAGUAACACCAUAAUUUAAUUACACAAACUACCAUUAUUCCAAUACCACAUCAUUGAAUCUCUACUUAAAUGUAAAGAGACAUAUCUCAACCUAUUGAUUAAAACAAAUAUAUGAAUGAGAAUAAUUUUUUUGGUUAUAUAUAUAUAUAUAUAUAUAUAUAUAUAUAUAUAUAUAUAUAUAUUACUUUUGGGAAUAUAUGCAUAACCACACCAAUUAAGAAAUAAAAAAGAUUUUGUAAAUCACGUGGGAAUUCAUUAAAAAAUAAUAAAGAAAUGUACUUUAAUGCAUAUUAAUGAAUAAAAAUUAAUUUUUUAGUCAAUGCCUCACAUAGUAAGAGGAAUUAAGUUAUUAUAAGAGUACAGUCAUUACCUUUUAUUUUCUUUAAUAUGAUAUUUCUAAUAAAUUAUAUGAAAUAAUUAAAUUAAGAAAAGAAAAAGGGGUUGAGAAUAGUAGUAACUCUUUCAAAGCUACUCAUAACUUAACCCCUUUCAUAUACACACAUACACAGGUUUUAAAAAAAACUAAAAAGUAAUAUUAAAUAAAGCAUGUUUCAUGAAAUAAAGUAAAAUUAAAUAAAAAAACAAAAUCAUGUAAUAGAUGUUUUUUUUUUUGGUAAAUAUAACCAUGCAAUAAAGUAUAUUGGAACGGCCUUAAUCACGCCCCACGAGUACUCAUUAGCUAAAAUCAUCCUAUGGAAAAAGUUUUAUGAUACCUACAAUUUAAAGCUAAAUCAGGAUACGUGAUCAGCGCUGGUUUGUCCUGGUCCCCAUACACAGCAACAGAGACGCAACCAGAGCGAGUUCUUACAACAUGUUCCUGCAAAAAAGACUAGCUCAUUAAUCUGGAACAGCGCAUAAAAAUACCCAGAACCACAUAAGAAUAUGAUAAAACACCUCCUUCGUGUUUUAACAGCAAGAGGAAGGGUCAAAAACCACACAGGCAACAGAAGUAUGUAAAUCUUCUGGUUUUUCAGGGGUGCCCAUUCACUUUGAAAAAAAAAAAAAAACAAAACAAAACCAACAAAAAUGUGCAAAUCUUUGCAGACUGACACUGCAAGUUUAAAAAAAAAAAAAGUAUAUCAAUCUGCACCUGCCAGAAUCCUAUCGGUGAUAGCUAUUAAGACAAUUAAAAAAAUUAAAAUCAAAUCCAAUUUGUUUAAUUCAUGGAAAUCAUGCAGCAAAAGAAAAAAAUCUUCAUUCACUAUCUGGAAAGCUUUAAAAAUUCCAUUAUGGCAUAAUAGAAUUCAAGUGAGUUUCUGAAGCAAUGCAACAACAUUAUGAAACUCAGAGGAAGAAGUUUUUAAUUAAUCAAGCUAUGAAGAAACAAAAAUGAGUUAAAAAAGCCAGAAUGAAAACAAGAAUUGAGUUAAAGUGCGUGCCAUGAAAUGAAAUGGUUGUUUGUGAGUGUUAAUAUGAGCGUAAGUUAGUUACCUCGGGUGGAAGAGAAAUGGCUUCCAUGUCCACCGACACCGAAUCUGCCAUUUCACUCUCAAUAGCGUCGUGAAUGUGUAACCACUCACACUCCAUUUGUUUUUCUCUCCUAAUUCUUGCUUUUAUAGGUAGUUCUCAGCACUAGCAUGCGUCAAUUUCUCUCUCUUUCUCUCUCCAUUUUCUGCUGGUCUCGCACGAGUCACCGACGCUCAUCCCCGUGCCAAAUUCAAUUCAAGCCACACCAGCUCUCUGCAUUAAUACUCCUUUACUUAACCCACAUUCUGCUUCGCUUAACCAUGGUUCCCAAGCCGACACUUUUUCCUUCACAUUUUUUAUCACUCUCUUUUUAAAUAUUAAUGACUAACAUAUUUCUUUUUCAUUAAAAUUGCCACUGUCAAGUGCAAACGGAUCAGUUUUAGAUUUUUAAUUUCCUUUUUCUUGUAUCUCAGCCUCUAAAUUACUUUUCUUUUCAACAUCUUCCAUUAAAUGAAUAUUUUCAAAUAUAAAAAUACAUAUAACCACUUGUUUCAUAAAAUUUCGGUAAACAUUUUUAUAAAACAAUAUAUAGGUAUAAUUUAACGAUUAACUUUAUAAAAAUCGUGUUAUAUAUAUGUGAAAUUAUUGACAUAAAGUCCGUUGUCUGCAGUUAUUGGUAAAAAUCAGGUGCAUUUUUUUAAUAACAGAAUGAUAUACAUUAUGAACAUAUUAUUACAUUCCAUACAGAGCAUAGGACAUGAGGCUUGGGUUGGUUAUUAUAAGUCUAAAUAAAUAUAACUUAGUACACAUACAUAGAAAUGUGUUAAUUAAAAUUUAUUGUUAAUAUUAUAUUAUUUUAGAGCAUAAAUUAAUUCCAUUUAUUAUAAAAUGUAUCUUACACUGUUAUACCCUGUAUAAUGCAUGAAAUUAAAUUAAUUACACUGAAAUUAGCGCCUCCAUCCUUCAUGGGAAAAAACAAGCUAAUUUUUACAUUAGGAUAAAAGUAACAAAAAAUAUAUAUUGAAAUAAGUAUUUACGGUAUGAAAAUAUAAAACUUUUACAAUUUCAGAACAUUAAAGAUAACUCUUAAUUGAGGUUUUAAACUCGUUAUUCUGUAAAUAUUUCUUUUACAAAUUGAGUAUAUAAAAUUGUUAAAAUGAUAGCGAGUAUCCAUAAAAGUUAUAUCACUGGUUAAAAAAUAAUAUAAACAAAAUUUAAGAUGAAUAUAAUAUUUUAACGAGGAGAAUUUGAUCAAUCUCUCUUAUUUAUCCUUGUGAACUUAAGUAUAUACAUAAAGUAAAUCAGAAGUUUAUAACUUAAAUUUCAUUUUGAAGUUCUUAUAAUUUAUUUUUCCUCUUUGUUGAAAUUUUUAAACUGUUUGAAUUCUAGUUUAUGUAAAAUCGGUUAUAAUGUUGAUAAAUUUAUUCCGUGUGUAUUUCGAAUAAUUUAUGUGGAUUUUUUUUUAUAUAUUUUACAAUUAACGUAUUAGUUUAGAGAUUAAUUUAUCCAAUUAUUAUACUAAUAUAACCAAAACAUUACAUUAAUUUAACUAACGUGUCGUGUUCUUGAAAGAAAAAAAAAAGGUCUUGUGUCUCAUAUUUUUAGCAUGUGAUACAAUUAGUACAAUGUCUCAGUCGAGACCUAACCAAAAGUUUAAAUUAUUUAAUCAAUUAUUUUAACUUGCUUAAACAAACAGUUUGGGUACACAUGCACAAGUAUGUUUAUAAUUGUUUUUUUACAUUAUUAUAAGAUUAAUGAUAAUUAAGAAAUUUAGAAACUUCUAAUUGGUUAUGUAGUGUUUUGAUCUAUUGCCAUGAAUAUAUUAAUUGAUUCAAAUGAAUUUAAUAGUUAUCCUAAUUUAAUCAAAAUAUUACAUCAGUUAAAUAAAUGUAUUGUGUUUUAAAAAAUAAAUAAAAGCUAAGUGAAGUUUUAGAAUGGGUUCACACCACUUUAAUACAUUCCUUUAUCAUUUGAGAUAAGUACAUAAUGUCAGUAUUUUGAAACUCUUAGCAUUGUUCUUCUUUUCAAUUUCAUUUUCUUUUAGGAUGAAAAGAAUACAGAUUAAGGAUUCUGUUAACAAUGUUUUUAAGGUAUUAGUCAAGAAGUUUAAAAAAAUGAUUAAAAGUUACAGAAUAGUUCAUUAAAAUAAUAUAAAAUAAAUAUUUUUACAUGUCUCAGUAAAAUCUUAUAACUUAUUUAUUGUGUUUUAUUUUAUAUAUUGUAGUGAAAAUAUAUUUGUCUAUGUAUGGGUAUACAUUUUGUUUUAUAAUAACAAAAUAUAGGAAAUGUAAAAAAUUAUUUUAAUCAUAAUUUUGUUUCUGGCGUAAUGUUUAUGGUGAACAUUAACCAUAUAGCUAGUACCAUAGAAUUGAAAGGUGUAAUGUUUUUGGUGUAGUUCACCAGGGAUUUUUUUUUAUUUUAUUUUUAUGAAUAAGCAGUGUCUUUAUAACAGAAUGACAAGUGUGAUUUAUUUGUCCGAAGAAGAGGAAGCACAAGUCAUCAUCAGUACCUUCAAACAUUUCCAGUGCAAAAGGAGAAAGCAGUAACAGAAGAAAACAAAAACAGUGUUGCAUGGGAUUUGUCUACAAAAUAUAUAAAAUCUUCCAAAAAACAAAACACCAUUCAUAAUUGAGAAAGAAGUGAUUAAUAACUAUAGAGAAUUCCAAGAGCGUGGUGCCGAUCUCGGAGCAAGGAGAUUCAGAGAUUGCAAAUUUCAAUGCCAUUUAUUAAAACUCAAUCCCGAGAUGUCACUGCCCCAUCUACACCUGCUUCUUGAAGACCACUUGUUACUAAUAAUUCUCACAAAUUUUCCUAGCUUAAUUGCAUUCAUUCUUUAAUUCCUUUUCUCUCAUAAUUGCAAUUUUGAACUUAGGGUUCGUGUGAUCGGAGAUAAAUUUUGAACUUGGAGAAGAUAAGAAAGAUAGAAGAGUUCAUCAUUAAUAAAGGAAUAUCUUUAUUUUGCAUAAUCAGAAACUGUUAUCCUAAACCAAAAUUCAAGUAAGUUAGAAGUGAACUUACUUGUGUACCGGCACAUGGUUGAAAAGAAAAUAAAAUAAAAAUGUGGGAGAGAAAGAACCAAAGAACAUUGUGCAGACUUUGGUAUAUAAAACAUAUAAUUGGGCUGGGCUCACUCGAAAGAAAAGACCUUAAUGACCUCGUUUGAUUUUGUUCAAUGGGUGUUGUUCCCUCCACUUUUACUUUGUUCCUCUACCUCCUCAAUUUUUGUUCUUUUUCAAAAUUACCUUAGGUUAAAAUUUUGUUACUUUUACAUUUACUUUUAUAUAAAAUUUUAUUUCUUACCCCUUUUACCCAAUUGCGCAGCACACCUCAUCCCAUUCCCACUAUCUCAUUUCUUUUCUCUUUCUCAUUUCUCUCUUCUCAUUCCUCUUCUUUCAUUUCAUCUUUUCUCCUUCCAUUUCCGUUUCUUCCAUUACUUCCAUUUUCUUGCUUACUUGGUUUUAAGUUCCAUUUCAUUGCUUCCAUUGAGUUAGGUAUUUGGUUUGUGUUGUGGAAGAAUGUGCUUGGUAGUUUGCAGAUGGAGUAGGUCACGACGCGUGAUGCAUAUUCGAACUGUGAAACUUCCCGUUAAGUUAUUCAUGGCCACAGAGUAACUGGAUAGAGAAGGGAAUAUCAAAAGCAAAUCCUUAUGUUUAUUUGCUUGAGAAAGGCUUUACUUAAUUGUGCAAAUUAUACAGGUAAUACAAGAUAUUUGUUUAGCCAUAACAGUCACUGGGUUGCCAUCAUUUCCUCCAAGGGAACUGGUCAUAUUUUUGUUCUUGCUUCAUUUGGUGGAUAGACAAUUCUUAAGAUGCACGAUCAAGACACAGAUGAGCCUGCUCUUUUGCCAGUUUUUCCUCUACCAUGGUGGUUCACUCCACAUUUCAUAGUAAAUCAGCAGCAAUUGAGCUUGACACCCCCACCUCCUGUUGUUCUUUUAGUGGUUAGCAGAAUAAAGAAUAGUAAUGUCGGAUGGCUCAAUACAAUUAGUAGCGCGACAUCUUUUGCAACAAGGAAAGUUCCAAUUCCAUCUAGUGUUGAGGAGGUGGUGGGAGCAAAUGGGGAGGUGGAGGGAGCAAGUUACAUGUUGCAAGUUAUAGGUUUCUCUCAGCACCCCCAACUUUUUCAACCUUCAACCUGUAAUCUGGAACCUGUAACCUGCAACGACUAACAUCUUAGAUUUUACCUGUAACCUGUAAAUUGUAACUUCUAACCUAUAACUUGUAUCCUAUAACCUGUAACCUGUAACCUGUAACAUGUUACAUGUUACCUGUAACCUAUAACCUGUAACAUGUAACAUGUAACCUCCAACCUGUAACUUGUAACAUAUAACCUAUAACCUAUAACUUGCAACCUGUAACUUGUAACAUGUAACAUGUAACUUGUAACCUCCAACUUGCAACCUAUAAUCUCUAACAUGUAACUUGAAACCUCCAACCAAUAACUUGCAACCUAUAACAUGUAAUAUGUAACCUGCAAUCUGCAACCUGCAACCUGUAGACUGUAACCUGCAACCUGCAACCUGUAACCUGUGACCAGUAACAUGUAACCUGUAACAUGAAAUAUGUAACCUGAAACCUGUACCUACAACCUGGAACCUGUUACUUAUAACCUGUAACCUGCAACCUACAACCUACAACUUGGAACCUGGAACCUGGAACCUGGAACCUAGAACCUACAACCCGCAACCACCAACCUCCAACCUGGAAUCUGGAACCUGUAACGUGUAACAUGUAACCUGCAACUUGUAACCUCCAACAUGUAUCGUGCAAACUGUAACCUGCAACCUGUAACCUACAACCGAUAACCUGUAAUCUGCAACCUGUAACCUGUAACCUGUAACCUGCAACCUGUAACUUACAACCUGCAACAAAUAACAUCUUAGCUUUUACCUGUAACCUGUAACAUGAAACCUAUAACUUGUAACUUCUAACCUGUAACCUGUAACUUGUAACAUGUAACUUUUAACCUGUAACCUAUAACAUCUAACCUCCAACCUAGAACCUGCAACUUGGACUGCAUCCUGCAACUUGGAACUAGUAACCUGCAACCAACAACCUGUAACCUGCAACCUGUAACCUGUAACCUAGAGCCUGUAACCUGCAAUCUGUAACCUCCAACUUGUAACCUCCAACAUGUAACAUGUAACUUGUCAUCUUCAACUUGUAAUGUGAACUAUAACCUAUAACCUAUAACAGGUAACUUGACUCUUGUAACUUCUAACAUGUAACCUAUAACCUUUAACUCGAACCAAUAACCUGCAACCUGUAAUCCGUAACAUGUAACCUGCAACCUGUAACCUGUAACCUAGAGCCUGUAACCUGCAAUCUGUAACCUCCAACUUGUAACCUCCAACAUGUAACAUGUAACUUGUCAUCUUCAACUUGUAAUGUGAACUAUAACCUAUAACCUAUAACAGGUAACUUGACUCUUGUAACUUCUAACAUGUAACCUAUAACCUUUAACUCGAACCAAUAACCUGCAACCUGUAAUCCGUAACAUGUAACCUGCAACCUGUAACCUGUAAUCUUUAAUCUGUAACCUGUAACCCGUAACCCGUAACCUGAAACCUGGAACUAGGAACCUGGAGCCUACAACCUGCAACCUGUAACAGGCAACCUGUAACCUACAACAUACAACCUACAACCUAGAACCUGGAACCUGAAACCUGCAACAUACAACCUGGAACCUGGAAGUUGUAACCUAUAACCUGUAACCUGCAACCUGCAACCUGUAACCUGUAACCUGUAACCUGUAACCUGUAACCCGCAACCUGUAACCUGUAACUUAUAACCUGCAACCUGUAACCUGCAACGAGUAACAUCUUUGAUUUUACCUGUAAUCUGUAACCUGUAACCUGUAACACGUAACUUGUAACCUAUAACCUGCAACCUGCAACCUGCAAUCUGCAACAUGUAACUAGCAACUUCCAACCUGUAACCUGCAACCUGUAACCUGUGACCUAUAACCUGCAACCUGCAACCUGUAACCUGUACCCAUUAACAUGUUAGCUUUUACCUAUGACCUGUAACCUGUAACGUGUGACCUUUAACCUGUAACAUGUAAAUUGUAACCUAUAACCUGUAACCUGUAACCUGUAACAUGUAAACUGAAACCUGGAACCUACAAUGUGUAACUUGUAACAUGUAACCUGUAACUUGCAACCUCUAAGUUGCAACCUGUAACUUGUAACAUGUAACAUGUAAUUUGUAACUUGCAACUUGAAACCUAUAAUCUGCAACGUGUAACUUGCAACCUCCAACCAAUAAAAUGCAACCUGUAACAUGUAACCUGCAACCUGCAACCUAUAACCUGUAACAUGUAAUUUGCAACCUGCAACCUGUAACCUGCAACUUGCAACCUAUAACCUGCAACCUGCAACCUGCAACCUGCAACCUGCAACCUGUAACCUGUAACUUGUAACCUGUAACCUGUAACCUGUAACCUGUAACUUGUAGGCUAUAACCUGUUACCUGUAACCUAGAACCAGAAACCUAUAACUUGGAACCUGGAUCCUGAAACCUGCAACCUGAAACCUUCAACCUGCAAUCUGUAAACUGUAAACUAUAACCUACAACGUACAACCUAAAACCUGGAACUUGGAACCUGCAACCUGGAAUCUGCAACCUGCAUCCUGCAACCUACAACCUGCAACCAACAACCUAUAUCCUGCAACCUAUAACCUGUAACUUGUAACCUGUAACCUAUAACCUGCAACAUGUAACUUACAACCUGCAACCUGUAACCUACAACGAGUAACAUGUUAGCUUUUACCUGUAACCUGUAACCUCUAACUUGUAACCUGUAACCUAUAAGAUGGAACCUGUAACUUGUAACUUGUAACAUGUAACCUCCAACCUGUAACAUGUAACUUGUAAUCUUCAGCCUGUAAUGUGAACUAUAAACUAUAACCUAUAACAGGUAAUCUGCAACUCGUAACCUGCAACCUAUAACUUCUAAUCUGUAACCUGUAACAUAUAAUUUGUAACCUAUAACUUUUAACCUGUAACCUGUAGCUUGUAACUUGUAACUUUUAACCUGUAACCUAUAACAUCUAACCUGCAACCUAGAACUUGUAACCUGGAACCUACAACCUGCAACCUGCAUACAACCUGCAACCAGCAACUUGUAACCUGCAACCUAUAACCUGUAACCUAUAACCUGUAACCUGUAACCUGCAGCCUGUAACCUCCAACCUCUAACAUGUAACUUGUAAUCUUCAACCUGUAAUGUGAAUUGUAACCUAUAACCUAUAACAAGUAACCUGCAACUUGUAACCUGAAACCUGUAACUUCUAACAUAUAACCUAUAACCUGUAACUUGCAACCUGUAACAUGUAAUAUGUAACUUGUAACCUGCAAUUUGCAACCUAUAAUCUGCAACAUGUAACUUGCAACCUCCAACCAAUAACCUGCAACCUGUAACAUGUAACCUGCAACCUAUAACCUGCAACCUGUAACCUGCAACCUGCAACCUUUAACCUAUAACCCGUAACCUCAAACUUGGAACCCGAAACCUGGAACUAGGAACCUGGAGGAUGGAACCUGCAACCUGUAACCUGUAACAUGUAACUUGUAACCUACAACAUACAACUUAGAACCUGGAACCUGGAACCUAGAACUUGGAACCUGGAACCUGGAACCUGCAACCUUGAACUUGGAAGUUGUAACUUGUAACCUUAAACCUGAAACUUGCAACCUGUAACAUGUAACAUCUAACCUGCAACUGUAACCUGUAACCUGUAACCUGUAAUCUGCAACCUGUAACUUACAACCUGCAACCUGCAACCUGCAACCUGCAACCUGCAACCUGUAACCUUUUCCGUGACCUACAACGAGUAACAUAUUAGAUUUUACCUGUAACCUGUAUACUGUAACCUGUAACAUGUUACGUGUAACAUGUAACAUGUAACCUGUAACCUGUAACGUGUAACAUGUAACAUGUAACCUCCAACCUGUAACUUGUAACACGUAACAUGUAACCUCAAACUUGCAACCUAUAAUCUGCAACAUGUAACUUGAAACCUCCAACCAAUAACCUGCAACCUAUAACAUGUAAUCUGGAACCUGCAACCUGUAACCUGCAAACUGUAACUUGCAACCUGUAACCUGUAACCUAUAACAUGUAACCUGUAACCUGUAACCUCAACCUGUAACCUGCAACAUACAACGUACAACUUACAACCUGAAACUUGGAACCUGGAAACUGCAACCUGUAACCUGGAACCUGCAACCCGCAACCACCAACCUCCAACCUCCAACCUGGAACCUGGAACCUGUAACGUGUAAUGUGUAACCUGCAACUUGUAUCCUCCAACAUGUGUCGUGUAACCUGUAACCUGUAACCUGCAACCUGCAACCUGUAACCUGCAACCUACAACCUGCAACCUAUAACCUGCAACCUUAACCUGUAACUUGCAACCUGUAACUUACAACAUGCAACAAGUAACAUCUUAGUUUUUACCGGUAACCUGUAACAUAUAACCUCUAACUUGUAACCUGUAACAUGUAACCUGUAACCUGUAACAUGUAACCUGUAACCUGUAACCUGUAACUUCUAACCUGUAACCUGUAACUUCUAACCUGUAACCUGUAACUUGUAAUAUGUAACUUUUAACCUGUAACCUAUAACAUCUAACCUGGAACCUACAACCUGCAUCCUGCAACAUGCAACCAGCAACCUACAACCAACAACCUGUAACCUGUAACCUAUAACCUGUAACCUGUAACCUCAACUUAUAACCUCCAACCCGUAACAUGUAACUUGUAAUCUUCAACCUGUAAUGUGAACUGUAACCUAUAACCUAUAACCUAUAACAGGUAACCUGCAACUUGUAACCUGCAACUUGUAACUUCUAACAUGUAACCUAUAACCUUUAACUUGCAACCUGUAACAUGUAACAUGAAACUUGUAAUCUACAACUUGUAACCUAUAAUCUGCAACAUGUAACUUGCAACCUCCAACCAAUAACCUGCAACCUGUAACCCGUAACAUGUAACCUGCAACUGUAAUCUGUAACUCGUAACCCGUAACUUGGAACCUGGAACCUGAAACCUGGAACUAGGAACCUGAAGUCUGGAACCUGCAACCUGCAACCUGCAACAUGCAACCUACAACAUACAACCUACAACCUGGAACCUGGAACUUGGAACCUGGAACCCGAAACCUACAACCUGUAACCUGGAACCUGGAAGUUGUAACAUGUAACCUAUAACCUGCAACCUGUAACCUACAACGAGUAACAUCUUAGAUUUUACCUGUAACCUGUAAAUUGUAACCUGUAACCUAUAACUGUAACCUGUAACUUGUAACCUGUAACAUGUACCCUGUAACCUGUAACAUGUAACCUGUAACUUGUAACAUGUAACAUGUAACCUCAAAUCUGUAACCUCCAACCUGUAACUUGUAACAUGUAAUCUAUAACCUAUAACUUGCAACCNAACCUGUAACUUGUAACAUGUAACAUGUAACCUCAAAUCUGUAACCUCCAACCUGUAACUUGUAACAUGUAAUCUAUAACCUAUAACUUGCAACCUGUAACUUGUAACAUGUAACAUGUAACUUGUAACCUCAAACUUAUAACCUAUAAUCUGUAACAUAUAACUUGCAACCUCCAAUCAAUAACCUGCAUCCAUAACUUGCUCCCUCUACAAAUUUCUCUCAGCACCCCAACUUUUUCAUAUCCCUAAAUUACUCCUAACAACUUUUAGGUUUUGACUUUUACUAUGAUCUAAACUCCUAUGUAGAGUGUUACAAAAUGAAACUCUCUUUUUGGCUCAACCUUCACCUACAUUCUUUCUUUUGUACUUACAAACAUAAGAUUUUGAAAUCUAGUAAAAAAAAACUCAACACAUAAUUGAAUUUUCAAAUUCAAUAAACAAAAAUAGUUAUAUGAACAAAAGAAUUUAAAAUUAGAUUUUCUGAUUUUUAAAAAUUCAAAAUCAUAUUUCAUUUGAGAAAAUUAAAAAUCAGAUUUCAGAUAUAAUUUCUCAAAAUCCAUAUCCAGAUUUAGAAAAGUAAUAAAAUCUACGACUGAAUUUUGAAAUUCAAAAAUAUUUCCAACCAUAUUUCAAAAAUUAAUUUAAAAACAAAUUAAGAAUUAGAUUUCGAAAUGUAAUUUUCAAAAAUCUACAAUCGAAUUUAGAAAUGCGAAAAAAAUCUAAAAAUAAAUUUUAAAAUCCAAAAAAAUCCACUGGUAAAUAUUGAAAUACAGUAAAAUUCAAAAUUAGAUUUCAAAAUCUAGAAAAAUAAUAAUUUUAAAAUACCAAAUUUCAAAAUAUAAUAAAAUCGAAAAUCACAUUUCCAAAUUCGAGAAAAUAAAUUUCAAAAUUUAUAUUUUAAAAAUCAAGAACUAAAUUAUGAAAUUCAAAUAAAAUUUUAGAAUUGGAUUUUAAAAUGUGAAAAAAAUCAAGAAAUAAAUUUUAAAAUAAAAUUUUGAAAUGUGGAAAAUUCAGAACCAAAUGUCUAAAUCUUAUUUUUGAAAAUCUAAAAUCAGAUUUCAAAAUCUGAAAAAAAUCAAAUUAGAUUUUAAAAUUAAAAAAAAAUCCAAAACUCAUCAAUAUCUUUUUUAUAUGCCUCAACUCAAUGUGAUAAAAAUGUUAAAAAAUUCAUCUUAAUUAAUUAUAAAACUAAUUCAUAGUGUAUAACAAACUUCAAAAUUCCAAAUUCCUAGCUAAACUUUCAUUACUCUAAGUAAUGACUACUUAUUUUUCUUACAAAAAGUAUUUAUAUACACUUUUCAUACAAAAUGCAUGUAAAUUGAGGAUAAGUAAGAGUCGUCCUAGAAUAAACCAGGUUUAGUACUUUUACUUUUUUAUGUGAUUUUUUUUAGUUUUCUAUAUCAAUAUUUUUGUUUUAUUUUAAUUUUGAAAAUGCAGUAAAUAGUUAUUAAAUUACAUUUUGUAGCAAGUUCGUGACUGUAAUUAUUAUUUUAUGAGUAUAAUAUGUUUUCUUUAAUCUCCCAUGUUGAAAGUGACGAAAAACUUCAAAUAAUUGAGCUUAAACAAAAUUAAAAAGAAUCAGGUUUAAUACGGUCCUCGUAUUUGUGUGAAAAUCUCAGUUCGGUCCUAAAGUUUUGAACUGUCUCAAUUAGGUCAUAAUUUUUGUAAAAAUACACACAUUUUACCCCAACUAUUAACUUAUCUCAAACAACGUUAAGUUUAGCUGUUGUGAUUUUCAUACAAAUACGAAGACCAAGAAGGGAUUAAGCCAACACGUCAGCAUAUCACAACAGCUAAACUUAACGCCGUAUGAGAUCAGUUAACGGUUGGGGUAAAAUAUGUGCAUUUUUACAAAAAUUAUGACCCAAUUGAGACAGUUCAAACGAACUGAGAUUUUCACACAAAUACGAGGACCAAGAGAGGUAUUAAGCCAAAAAAUUAGAAUGAUAUAAAUAAAUUACGAGACAGAAAUAAAGAAAAUAAAAAGUAAGAAUUAAAAAAUAGUUUAAAAAGGCAAUUAACCAAGUAAAUCACAUUUAUUUGUACGAAUGAAGUAGUAAGAAGUAAAAUUAUUGAAUUUCUCUUAAGAAGUAGUGAAUUUGAAUGGUUAUUUAAUAAUUUAAUAAAUGAAAUAAUAGUAAUUUGGAAGAAAAAGGUAAGGAAUGAAGCUGAAAUGGGCCACGUAGUAGCCUUGGUAGGCAGUUUCGUCAACGAUGUCUCUACCGUUUUCUAAAAAAUAGAAAAAGGUUUGGCUGGAGCGUGGUCAGGGAUAAAUAGAGAGAGUCGUGAAGGCUGGGUGAGAUUCAUUCGCUCGUAGCAACAUCACUAUGGCUCUUCUCAGUCGAGCCUCCUCACGCAUCUAUCAAGUGCACUCCUAUCAACGGGCGUUAUCCCUCCACACGACGCUCCCAGCUCUCAACGCAUCCACAUCUACACACACGCCCACACCAUAUGCUCCGCCACCGCCUCCGUCCGCUUCAUCUCCCGUCGGCGUUUCCAAGGCGGCGGAGUUCGUCAUCUCCAAGGUCGAUGAUCUGAUGAACUGGGCUCGCCGUGGCUCCAUCUGGCCUAUGACCUUCGGACUCGCCUGCUGCGCCGUCGAAAUGAUGCACACCGGCGCCGCCCGCUAUGAUCUCGAUCGCUUCGGCAUCAUUUUCAGGCCCAGUCCUCGCCAGUCUGACUGUAUGAUCGUCGCUGGCACUCUCACCAACAAGAUGGCUCCCGCUCUUCGCAAGUAAAUCCUCUAUCCCUUUUUUUAGGGUUUUUACUUCCCUAAUCUCUUUUCCUCUUUGUUCCUUCUCACAGUUGAUUACAAAUCAUAUUCCUCACCCGAUGCACUGAUUUGCUCUGUGCGUGACAUAUGUGCGUGGUUGAGUAUUCAAUUUGACUUGAUAUGGCGUCGAUGCCGUCGCGUCUUUGUUUGAAUGCUGUUAUAUAUACGUUGGAGAAUUUUAAAGAUAAAUUGUGUUCGGUGUUCAAGAAGGCAGAUGCCUGUUAUUUGAGAAUUUCUGUGACUAAAUUGCAUUUCGGGGAUAUUUAAUCUGGUCAAUGAUUAUGUGUUUUGUCUUUGUUAUGACGUAAGUGUACAUGGGUUAGGACUGACUGUGAAGCAGUCAGUACAGUAGAUAUAUAAAUCAUAGUUAGCUAUUGUAAAAAUAUUCAUACUGAACAAUAACAAACAUACAUGUAUUCUGCCACUUCUUCUAUCAGUUCCGGAAUCCCUUCAUUCUGGGGUUUCCUGAUUUCUUGUUUGGCUUUCUCUCUAUUGCCCUAGAACUAUGUUUUCUCGUAACAGGCUGUUUUAAUUGACUCUUGUUUUGGUGUUGUAGCCUUGUUUUUUUUUUUUUUGAUUCAGUGUUGAUAGGAAACUGCUACGAGGACACUGUUUUAACGAAAUUUUUUUGUUGAGUUAGAGACAGUAUAGGGAAAUGACACACUAGCUGCAGUUUGUAAACUCUUUAAGGGGCUUGCUUUCUACCGUCCCAUUCCUCACUACAAUCCUGCCUCCACCUGGCAUGUGCACAGGUUGUUGGUUGUUUCAAACUUAUAAUCCAUAUCCUCAGACUGAUUUCCUAUUUACAUUUCUUUGCCUCAUUGCUUCCACUUGCUUCUAAUUCCUUGCCACCCUUGCCUUUCCUCGUAACGACACCUAACUAAUAGGUCAUGGCUAAUACAGUUCUCUUCGUGAUUAAAUGUUGUUAUAGAAAUCACUUUGAUUGAAUGAUACGGCAUGUGAAAAGAGGUUCUUAUGGGGAUAAUAGUUGUCUUGCAUUGGAUGAGAGGUGUGAACAGUUAUGUCAUUUAACUACAAAGUAUAGCAAUGGUUUUAAGUUGCUUUAGUUUUAGAAAAGGUGUAGAAGAGUAUGCCAGUUUCACUUGUUAAAUUUUCUACUAUGUUAUAGUACAUAUUGUUGGUUGCUCAUCAUUAUCUAUUACUAUGUCAUGAUGAGAUUCGGUAAGCUACUUAAUUGAGCGCUAAUUCUAUAAGAUUUUAUCAUCGAGGACUUAAUUUUGUUUUUCAGAAGCUGGGAAUUUUUUUAGGGAGUACAAACCUAAGCUAGAUCAUAAGAAUCCAAAAUAGGCAUCAUUUGGGCUAGAGCCUCUUCCAGCUAACAUAUUCUAUGCAAUCGAGAAGCAAGAGAUACUAAUUUGCCUGUUACUCUAUCGGCACAUCUUCUGACCAGAAUGAGUGUAUUUGGGAGUCUGUCUGCAUGAGAUUAUUGCAAUCCUGAUCAGACAACCAAAGUAAGAAUCAUGAAACAUUUUCUCAAUGCAUGAAAAACAUCAUGCAUGACUGCCUGUUUCAAACACUACACGAGAACUUAUGUCAGAUUUUUUCAUUAAGUUAUUAGAAUAAGCUAAAAAAGGUUUGUGGGAGUUAUAAAUUGUUUUUAUAUGCUCAAGUAAACUCUGGAUAGGUUUUUCCGAAUAUCUCCCCACGUAAGUCUGUCUAGGAACAUUAGCCAGCUUGUUGUGCCACUUGUAAGACAACUGCUUUGUUUAUUUCAAUUGUCAAAAUCUUUUCUUUUGAGGUCUAAUUAUUCUCUACAAUCUUGAAGAACAUAAAUCAUAAUGUUGGCUGUUACGUCUGUUGUAAUGCCGCAUGCGCACUUGGUUGGGAUUUUUCUGUCAUUGAUCUUCAUGAAACAUUAUCAAUUUGAUUUUUGGGUCAUUUUUCUGUCUCCCCUUCCCUGUGAAAUUCCAUGUUCCGACAUUAUUAUUGCCUUGGAACUUUAUUGGUAUAUGACGCGGAAAAAUUCUGGCAGGGUUUAUGACCAAAUGCCUGAACCUAGAUGGGUCAUUUCAAUGGGAAGUUGUGCUAACGGUGGAGGAUAUUACCACUACUCUUACUCAGUGGUUCGGGGGUGUGACAGGAUUGUUCCUGUUGACAUAUAUGUUCCAGGCUGUCCUCCAACUGCUGAGGCUUUGCUGUAUGGACUCCUCCAGCUGCAGAAAAAGAUCAAUAGGCGCAAAGAUUUCCUCCAUUGGUGGACAAAGUAAGGUCGACUAAGCUUAUUUCUUGGCAGCCAAACUAUUUUACAAUAAGCAAAUUCAUGGUAUUGUAUUACCUUGCUAAGAAGUGCCCAUGUUAGAUGGAGAUUGUGUCGAUACAUUACCUUAUCACAGUUUCUGAAUGUUCUAUCUGCUCUUUUUAUAGGGGCUUCAUUCCCCUUAAGUUUUUUUAUCUGUUAAUGCUUCAUUUGUGUACCCGGGAGUAAACUAUAUGUGAAAAACUCAUGUUUGGUUUGUAAGUUACGGUUUUUACGUUGGACCAAUUCCCCUCUCCAAUGGUUCCUCAUGGUGUUCCUAUAAAUAACUUUCAUCCCUAACUUGUAUCUGCCACACUCUCUUUCCUCAAAGCUUUGACUUGUAGUUCUCAUUUCUAUUUUUCUCUAUAAUUUUCAAAGAAUGGAUAUGCUUUUUUAUAUAGGAUUUGUCAGAGGAAACUUCUUUCUAAAUCAACAAUGAUUUAUUUAAUGGAUUAUUUGUGGCUUAUAGUCGAUUUAGCAUAAAUGUUAAGGGUUUUUUCAGAGACAUAAUCAUUGUAAAAUAUUUAAGAUAAAAUUGAUCAUAUAAAAAUAUUUCAUUAAUAUUUGUAAUUAUUUAUGUUUUAAAAAUUAUAUUUUUAGUAUUUACGUCAAUUUAUAAUUAUUUAUGUUUUAACAUAAACAAAGACAUGGUAUAUUGUAUUGCUUAUUUUUAUUAAUAUUUAUAUUUAUAUACUAAAAUGACUCGUUAAAAUAAAAAAAAAUAAAACAAAUAAUUGAUAAUACAUAAUACACUUCCUUUUUCAUUUUUUUUUUACAUUUGUCUUUAAUCCAACAUAAUUUUGCUUUCAUUUUUUUUAAUACAAUCAUUUAAAUGUUAAUAAAAUACAUGUUUUUGUGAUGCCACCAUUACUUAUUUGGUUCAGUGAAGGAAAAUGAAACUAGAAAUGGCACGAUAAAAGAUAGGUAGAAUAAGAAAAAAGAAUGUUAAAAUAAAUCCUUCUUUCUUAAUUUUUUUAAAAAUUAUUUAUUUAAAAUCACCAUUUUUAAGUUUAAAUACUUUCGCUUAUAAAUUAACCAAACUUUGAAAGAAAAAUAGUGAAAUAAAUCAAAUAAACGUGCAUAAUUUAACUUAUUUUUAAUCCUUUAUUAUAUAUUUUAAGUUUUAUUUAUUAUUUUAAAAAAUAAUAUCAAUCGAAACCAUUUUUUUAUUGGAGUGUUUUGUUUAAAAUUUAAAAGUAUUUAACAGUAUAUCAUUCCUUCUCAACAUAAUAAACUCUAAAAAUUAGAAAAUACGCGUGAGCCUCGUUAUUAUUCACACUGUCCUGAGCUUUUUUUCAACAAACUUUAAACUACAAUAAAUAGUUUUUUUAAGCGUGUUAUAGUUUCUGUUUUACACUUCCAACUAAAUUAGUAUUUUACCGCGCGAAUUCCAUAAAAUAAAUAUUUUUAAAACUAUAUAAAAUAAUAUUAAUUUACAAUACAUUAAAGCUAAACAUUAUAAUAAAUAAUUAUUUUCGAAUAUUUGAAUUAUAUUUUACAUUUACAAUUAACUCCUGAAGUUAUAAUAUAAACUUAUUUUAUGUUUAUGAUAAAAACUGCUGAAUCUCAUAACACAAACAUAUUUUUAUAAAAAAGAAACCAUACUUUGAGUAAAUUGAUUUUUUAAAAUAGUUUUGAAAGUAAAGUGUAAAGUGAAAUUAUAUAUAAAAAAGAAAGAAAAUGUUAAAAAUGCCUAAUCGAAGGAGCGAAAUAAUGAAUAAUAAAUAUACUAAAAUUACGUGAAAAUAAAAUUUUUCUUUAAAUAUAGUUUCUUCUUAAAAGCAUGACGUAAAAAGACAUCUUGUGAUUUUGGUUGCAUAAACGAAGCAAAAUAUCUCGCUCUCUCCUACAGAGGUAACGCGAGUGACUAGGGUUUGUGCCAAUGGCGGAAGAAGCACAGUAUUCAUCGGGAACGGAGUCGGCAUCCCUCAAGCGCAAGUACGAAGACCAAUCCUCCGACAGACCCACCGGAUUCUCUGCGGGUCCCGCCACCGGCAUCGAGCUCGCCAAGCAGCGUGCUCAAGAAGUCGCCGCUCGCCUCCUCAGUGUCACUCCUCCUCCUCCGCUCGACGCCAAGCGUCCCAAACCCGAUAACGGUGCUCCUUCCUCCGGUUUCGAUUCUUACGGUAACUAACGAUUCCUCUCUGCUCCGCUCUUCUCGUUUAUGUUAGGGUUUUAUGAACUAUGAUUUCCGGGAACGUAGAUGCGAAGCCUCAGUACUCGGCCGUUCCCCCCGUCUCCUACAGUCACCAAGGAACGAGCAAGAAGAUUGAUAUCCCUAACGGCAGGGUUGGUGUGAUAAUUGGCAAAGGUGGAGAGACCAUUAAGUAUCUCCAGUUGCAGUCUGGUGCCAAAAUUCAAGUUACUCGCGAUAUGGACGCCGACCCUAAUUCUACUACCAGGACCGUUGAGCUUAUGGGCACUCCCGAGGCAAUCGCUUCUGCAGAGAAACUCAUUAAUGAAGUUCUUGCCGAGGUUAAACACAUUUUAUGCUUCUCAUUUUUUUUUUUCUGUCAAUCAUGGAUGGAUUAGAUUUCGUUUAUCACCGAUUUUGAUGUUACGAUAAUCUUACCAAGGAGAACUGUUUCCUAGUGAACUGCUUAAAUGUUUAAUUAUUGCAAUAUAUAUGGUUAUAACUAUUUUUGUACCAGGCUGAAUCUGGAGGUUCUGGCAUUGUUGCUCGAAGACUGACCGGACAAGCUGGGUCGGAUGAAUUUGUCAUGAGAAUUCCGAAUAAUAAGGUGUGAAAGGGAGAUUUAAGUGUAUGCUUUGUACAAUGUCAUGAGUGUUUCCCUUGUUCAGACUUGCGGUUUUUUUUUUUUUGUCUGUUUGGGUUGAUAUGUUUAUUGUGUGCAUCGUCAGGUUGGCCUUAUAAUUGGCAAAGGUGGAGAAACCAUAAAGAAUAUGCAAGCUUCUACUGGUGCACGGAUUCAGGUUUUUACUUAUAAGUGAUAUAUAGAACAAUGUUCUCUUAUUUGUGCAUUGGAUAUCCGUGAUUUGCUGUUAUGGUAUUUUUACCGUUGCUUUGUCGUUGAUAAUAAUUUGAAAAGAGAUUGUAUUAACUGCCAACUCCCAUGACUAGGAAAUUUCUAUCUGGAGUUCUUUGUGACUAAUGUUCAUAAUUAUUUUUUCAGGUGAUACCUCUGCAUCUUCCUCCAGGUGACACAUCAACUGAAAGAACAUUGAAAAUUGAUGGGACACCUGAGCAAAUUGAGUCUGCAAAGGAGUUGGUUAAUCAAAUCAUCAGUGGCGAGGUAUGUUUAUGGUGCUUCUUUUUGCCACAUUUGGCCUAGGCAUAUCUGUCUGGUUAUGCCAAGUCUCGUCUAGUGUUUAAAAUUGUUGUUUUUCUACUUGGUUUUUCACUCUGUAUGUUGCACAGUCUACUUAUCUUAUAGACCGAUUGAUAAAAAUAGGUUAAUGUACGUAGCUUUAUGCGAUUGUUAGAUGAAUACUCCGUGCUUCUGAUUGCCUGUUGGAUCUUUCUAUAUUUAUGGUAUUAAAAUAUAAAACUAGAUCUGAUUCACCCUGUAACAUGAUACAUGAUUUUGCAGUACUCUUUGAUUUGUUCCUUUGCAGGGAAAAAUUGUUUUGGUAAAUCAUGUGAUGCUUUUUACUAUAGUUUGCAUAAAUGAGUUUUAUUUUUUUCAUAUUAAUUAAUUCAUUGAUCUUAUUAAUGAUAUAUUAUAACACUGAUCAUUAUUACUUAGCAUUGUAUAUCAUUGAUGGUUUUGAUCUCGACUGAAGCAGCUUUUAGCUGUAUGGCAAUUAUUAGUUAACUUGAUGCGUAUUCUGGACGCUUUGAUAUCUCUUCUAAAGCAGCUUAGUUCAUAGUGUAUGUUUUUAGAAGUAGUAUGUUUCGAGAGCCUAAUGUGCCUUUCACAAGUGAUUUUUAUUAUAUGGUACUUAAACAUUGAUACGACCUCUGUUACCUAUUGUAUUGUUCUCAAAAGAAAAUCAGUAUAUAAUUUCAUAUUGUGCAACUGUUUCAAGACUUUUACAAAGUAAUACUCAAAGGUAGAAAAUAAACUAAACCUCUAGUGGCUGUUACGAUGUUCUUUCUUUUAAUCUCCAACUCUCAUCAAUGUAAUUUAUUCAGCUCGCCAGGUGGAAAUAUGGUUAGGGAGACCGUUCACUGCUAUAGCCAUAGUUUAUUAGCUGUAAUGUUAACGACUGUAUGGUAUCCUGUUCUAUGAACAGUCUUUAUAUACUGGCAAUAUGCACCUUUCUUUAUGUUUAGUCUCGGAUUAGGUGAUGGUCAUUAACUUUCAGGAUCUUCUAAUUCUGGCUUGUCAACUGGUUUUUACGUUUGUGUAUGUGCACUCUGCUCUGUAUAAUUAGCUAACACUUCUUGGCCAUUAUCUUUUAUCCAUCCACAAACUAAGCAAUAAUUGAGAUUUGGACUUUCAGUUUUCUUGACCAAGAUACCAUACUUUUUUACAUAGACCGUUUUUUAACUGUGGUGAAGUUUUUCACCUAGCCCUGUGCUUUCGUCUUACAUUGUUUUUGUUGGUUUAGAUUCCUGGGGGUGGUGAAGGCUACUGUUAUUAUGAAUAUUUUUGGGUCCUGAUGGAUACUCAUUGAGAUUAUAGCCUUCCGACAUUGGAAUAUGAUUAUUAAUUGUGUAUCCUAUGACUGAUAAUGUUAUUGGGACUGUUGUAGGGUUAGUGUCUAUUGGACUAUUGGUGACACCAACAUGAAUCCCUUUGUUGGUGUUCCCUCAGCGUGCCCUGGUAUGGUUCUAAAUCUCAGAUAUUUAUUAUCAAGGGCAGUAAGUCUCCUACUAUAUUAUUUGACUAUGGUGUCAUUAUUAGACUGAAUAUUGGAUUGUGUUGAAAAGGUUUCAACUUGGUCACUUGUGCUUUUCAGUUCAUAUCUCAACAAGAACCUUUAUGUACUUGGAAUAGUAUUUUAUCCUCGGAUCUUAUACAUGACUUUCAUUUGGCAUCAGUAACCUGAAAGUUGCCUACCGUGCAACUCUUUAAUUAUUUUCCCCUACUAUUAUUCUUCUCCAGCUUUAAAUAGUAGUUUUCUGAACUAACCAGUUAUCUUCAAGAUUUCUGUUAAGAUUUAUCUGUUGUACAUUUUGUACCACUUCUAUUCAGCCUCAUCGUUCCAUUAUUUUUCUUUUUCUUAUUCGUUUUCCAUGAAAAUAAUAUUUAAUUUUAACUUUUAAUUCCCUAGGUUGAACUAUUAGAUUGGGUUGUACAAAGGUUGAGAGUAUGUAUAUGGGAGCGCAGAAAGUUGUCUCAACAGUCUAUAUAUUUGAAUUUAGAGUUACGCCUUCAUCUUAAUAUACAGUGAAAUACUCUUUCAAUUAACCUGAAUACGAAUGAUAUAUUCUAUAUUGUAUGUGUAACAAUUGGAUUAAGAUCUUGCAUAUUUUGAGAUACUAUAUGAUGGAUUGCCCUUUCGAGGCAAUAAAUAUUGAAUGCUUGUUUGCUUCUAUGGUCUGUGCUUUCUUUUGUACCCAUCCAACUCGAAUAGGGAAAGGGUGUGCUUCUGCUGGAGUAACUCAGUUUUAUCACGAACCAGUACGGUAUGUAGGUAUUCAUAUCCCUUUCUGAUCAUGUAUGCAACCUGUUAAUGCAAGAUAAAAAACCCUUUAUAUCGUAUUUAUUAUAUGUUGAUUUUUGCAUUUGUAAGUUUAACCUGUGUACGUGUGCAUAUGUUGCUUUCUGUACUUGUCCGAUGUGGAAACUUGGGUGAAUUCACUUUUCAUAUUUGGUUUCAAUUUGUCUGCACAGAAUCGUCUUAGAAAUCCUGCAAUGUCUGGUGGUUAUCCUCAGCAAGGUUACCAAUCUCGUCCACCCUCUAACUGGGCUCCCCCUGCUCCAAUGCAGCAGCCUGGUUAUGGUUAUAUGCAGCCUGGUGGAUAUUCUGGUCCAUCACCUCAGUAUAAUAUGCCUCAACCACCAUAUGCGGGCUAUCCUCCUCAACAACCAGGUGGAUAUUCCACUAGCUGGGACCAGUCUUCUGCACCACCUCACCAACAGUCUACUCAUGCUGGCGGCUAUGAUUACUAUAGUCAACAGCCACAGCAACCGCAAAAUCCUGGAGGGCCAGCACCUCCAGGGGAUAGCUCUGCAUACAGUUACAGUCAACCACCUUCAUCUGGUUAUAGCCAACCGGGACAGGGUUAUUCUCAGGACAGCUAUAAUGCAUACAAUGCACAGUCUCAAUCAGGGUAUGGACAGCCACAAACAUAUGAUCAGCAGCAAGGCUAUGGCUCAGCUACUACUGGCUAUGGUAGUGGGAAUAACCAAGCGCAAGAGGGCCACACUGCAAGCUAUGCAUCGCAGGGAGAUUCAGGCCCAGCUCCAUCUACCCAACCGACCACACAACAAGGUUAUCCUACCAGCCAACAGCCCAGCUCAAACACUGCCAACUACCCAGCUCAGGGAACUCCUCAGUCAGGUUAUGGGGUUCCCCCGACCUCCCAAGCUGCUUAUGGAAGUCAACCACAGCCAGGUUACGGACCUGGUUAUGGAGCCCCUCAAUCUCAGAAACCAAGUGGCAAUCCUCCUGUUUAUGGACAGUCGCAGUCACCCGGUGCGGUGGGAGGCUAUGGUCAGUCAGCAUAUCCUGCUCAGCCUCCACCUUCCGGUUAUACUCAACCCCAAGCAGAAACGGGUGCUCAGAGAGCACCUCCAUCGGGCUAUGGUGCAGGGCAACCAGGUUAUGGUUCUCAAACAUAUGGUGCAGCUCAGGGUGGCCAGCCUGCUUAUGGUCAGGUACCACCUCCUUACAGCAACAGUUCUUAUGGUGCUGGUUAUACUCAGGCUCCCGCAUAUACUGGCGAUGGUAAUGGCAGUGGAAAUACGCAGCCUCCUCAGACUGCUGUUGCUAAAGCAUCGCCUCAGACUUGAUAUUUUUGUCUCCCUUCUCUCAUGGACUAUCGUUUUUAGUUGUGUUUUACUGAUCCUUAUUUUUCUAGUGACACUAUGUAGCGUUGCAUUGUUUAGAUGGAAAAAAUCGUGUAUUGAUAUUUUCUACAUUAUCCGGUUCUGUAUGGUUGAAUAGGAGCUCAUUUUUAUGUUGUUUGAAGUUGAGAUGAAAAUAACUUCCCAUUUUUAUGCUAGUUUCAGUUGUAAAUAAGGCUUUAAGGUUUCGUUUGGAAUAGAGAUUUUUUAAGAAUUAUCUUAUUAUGAAUUUAGUGAUUUUUGUAAGUGUUUUGAGAAAAAUUUAAAAUAAAAUUAUAUCCAAACGUAACUUUUUAAUAAAUUAUGAAAACAAUAAUAUUUUUUAUGAAAGUAUCUGUUAACACGGGUAACAGAUUUUUGAAUCCGAUUCUGUAGAAAUACAUACAAACGAAGAAAGAGAGUAUAAUAGAAUUUGAAAACUUAUAAAAAAAAUUGACCGUUUUUAUACUUGUAAAAGUUAAUACUUUUAUUUUUCAUUUUGGUAUUUUAUUGCCCAAGAAUAGCAUGUUUUAUUUUCAUCUCUUAGUGGAUUUUGCAUAAAAAUUGAAUAAUACUUGAUGAUGCUUGUUUGGUUUAGAGUGUUAGAUGGAUGUGAAAAAUGAAAAUUGUUUAAACCAAUUCCAACUCAUAUAAUAUUGAGCUAACAUACACUAAAAUCAUAUUCUAAAAAGAGGUAAGUCUGUCAAAAUUUUCUAAAAACUUGCAACUAUGGUUUAGAUAAUUGGACAUGACACUUUUUUCAAAAUCGACCAAUUCAAUCUAUAAAUAAAACUAUUGUAAUGUCGAAAAUUCAAAUCUUUUCCCAUAAAACCCAAUGUUAAAAAUAUUAGUGACUCUUGGAAUAUUAUUGGUGAGCAAAACAGAAAUGGGAAUUGGAUUUUCUCUUUUGCCAAGGCUAUUUGAAACUGUGGAUCAUAACUUCUGAUAAUUUCAUUCAAAAAAUAUAUUUUAAUAUAAAGUGAAAGUUAUAUAUUUAUCGAAAAUAAAAAAUAAAUAUUAAAAAAGAUAACAAAGAGAAAGAGUAAUAGGAAUGCCGUUAUCUAAAUUAUAAGUCAGUUGUUAAUAUACUAACUCAUUAUAAAGUUUCUCUUAAGUCAUAUAUAUUUAUUUUUUUUCUUAUAAGAUUCUUAGAUAUUUUUAAGAAUUUAUUAAAGAACCUCAUUAAUUAAUAUUUUUUAAUUCAACCCUUAUUGUUGGAAGAAAAAAAAAGAUUGGUUAUAUUCUGAAAAAAGAAAACUUAGUUGAAUCCCUAUUAAAGUACACGAUUAUACAUUUAUUUAUAAAUACAUCCAAUAUUAUCGUUAGUGGAAAAAUCAUUUUUUAUGAGGAGUAAAAAUGAUUUAUUAUGAUGGGUAACCUGACAUAAUAGUUUUGGGCAUCAUAAUAGGUCUGCACAUUUUAUGACGGACAGAAAAGUCCAUAAUAAUAGGUCCUAUUAUGACGGACUUUCUGUCAUCUAUUAUAAUAGGUCCAGUGUAUUAUGACGAAUUUUCACUUAUCAAUCAUAAUAUAGCGAAUUUAUUAUGAUGCAACUAAAUUUACCUAUGAUAAUAUGUAGUGUUUUAUGACUAAGAUUUUUUCACCUGUCAUAAUAUGUAGAACAUAUAAGUAAUUGUUCACCUAUCAUAAUAUAUAUUUUUCAGAAAUAAGUUUUUAUUACAAACAUUGUUCACCACCUAUAAUAAAAACUUGUUUUGUAAAAAUAAAUCAUUAUUACAUUUGACAUAUCCAUUCAAUUUACAAUUAAUUUCCUGUAUUAUAAUCCCAUCAAUCAAUUUAUAAUCAAUAUAACAUGAAAUGAACAUAUUCAAUUAAACUAACAUAAUGAAAUUCAUUUUAAACAUAAUAAUAUUUAAUACAUAAUUUGUACAUCAAACCAUAUAUUAAUUCCAAAUAUAACAUUAACCUAUACUAUUACAUUGUAGUCAAGUUUCUACAAUUUACUAACAAUUAAAAUAAAAGAAAUCCACUUGUUUCUAGUGUCUUCAAUGUCUAGAGUCCAUUAGAGAUGAAUAAGUAAAGAUUUAUAAAUAAAAUAAUUAAGUUAGAAAAAUUUUAUAAUGAAGAAAUUAUUUUAUCAUACUAAGGUAUAGAAUAACAAAAGAUAAGACAUAACCAUGAAGGUCAUUUUACAGAUUGUUACAUCUUGAACAAUGGUCUGGAUAAAGCCAGAGACUUGACCAUUACUCCAAUGAUAAAAUAAUCACCAUUAUCAUAUAGCACAAAUACUACAACAAGCAAUAUGAGUACGUACCAACUUACUUUUUAAAAAUGACAUCAGGUUCACAAGCAAGAUCAAGUAAACAAAAGCUUUUUAAAAGACAACAGAGACAUGGAGCACCAAAAUGUGAUAUACCUAGGUUGCAUUUAUGCUAUCACGGUGAAACUGACAUAUCUUUCCAAGAAGUGAAACAACAUUGUCAUAUGCCAUUACGUUAUCAAGGAAGUUGUGCAUUUGGAUGUCUUAUCACAGUAUCUAACCUUGAGAGUGUCUCUACAGUAGAGCAGAUAAAAAAUAAAAUAAAAAAGAUAUAUAAUUGGCCGCGGAAAAACAGUUAAAUGGUGGUAUUGGGCAACUAACCUCCAACAAGGGGUUUGAAAACAAAUCCACCAAACUCAUCACACACACCAACACUAUAAACAACAGCCUGCAAAGACAUUUAAUUAUUUUGAGAAUAUUAUUAUCCCAGAUUAUAUUCUAAAAAUGGAAAGCAACACUAAUAUAUAGAAAACCAAGAAGGGGAAGUUAACUUUUCGAACAUCUGGAUAUUCAUCAUUGCAAGCUUCUAGUAAGAAUGGAAGGAAAGAAUCAUACUAUUUGUGCAACAAAAAGAAACAUGUAAAAAUAUAGAACAAAAUCAUUCAGGGUAAAGGGGAUAAAUUUUUUUUUUGCAAGGAAAUGUAGAAAAUCCACACAAGAACGAAAGACAUGGGACUCCCACAAGGAGGAAGCACUUACUUGAGAGCAGUUUCACGACAGUGCUCAAAAACAUCAUCAAAUAUACAAAUGGCAAUUCUCCUUUCCUAUGAGGUUUUAUCUUAGCCCUGAUAUUGAUUAUCAAUGGCGGAGGGACGAAAUGGGAUCAGAAAACAAAAUGGAAAAAAUUUCUAAGCUCAUAAUUUGUACAAAUAUAAAAAUGUCCACAUUCACAAAUAUAGACAAGUAGUUCAGUAGUAAAUUAGUAAUUGACAUAAUCCAAGUUAUUUUCGUGUGCUCUGGGAAGGGGCAUAAGAACAUUAGCAUAAAACCCAAAUUUCAUAUAGCAUUUCAGGAGGUUGCAUCGUCAUGAUAGAGGCUAGUUCACGUGAUAUUAUCCACUUUUUUCACUGGCUACAUCGCCUUUUCCCUAAUAAAAAAUGGCAUAUAUAACAAUCAAGAAAAAUGAAUAUCAACUUAGGAAAGAAAGAUAAUAGCUAGACAAGUUUUUUUUUUUUUCAUUCAAAUUAAUUGCCUUACAGAAAAACAUUUCACAAAAAACAAAAGGAAAUGCCAUGAGAGGAAAGAUAGACAACUUCAAAGCAAGAACGCCAAAAACUUAAGACUAAUUCUAGCAUCAAAUAUGUAUUAUUAGACAGACAGAAAGAAGCUUUUAUAUAUAUAUAUAUAUAUAUAUAUAUAUAUAUAUAUAUAUAUAUAUAUAUAUAUAUAUUAGUCUAAGCUUAACCUGACAAAGAGUUUUAGAUAAACGUGUUCUGUUAAGAUCAAUAAUAAUACAAAAAAAGGUACUCAAAUGUUUCCGUUGAAAGAGAAGUGUAUAAAUGUGGAAGAAAUUCACUCUUAAAGGAGGGUUGUUAGAAUUUAAAGUGUGAGUCUAAAUCUCACAUUCGAUAGAAAUGAUUAGAGAAUCUUGGAUUUUAAUGGUUUCUCUUUCAUGUUCAUCCAUUCCUUCUUCCACCGUCAUCUUUUUUUACCUCCCUUUUAUCGGCAUUACAUUUGACUCGUCCAUAUAUGUUUUUUUUCCCAUGAAAAAGAUGAAUUUUGUUAGUUUGUUUAUAGUCGUGGUGACUCUCCAAUAAUGAUCUCUUUAUCCACUAGAUGACAACAAUGCAUUCCUCAACCUUAAUUUGAAAAAAGAGAUUUACAUGGAGCAACUUUCCAAAUUUGUUGCUCAGGAGAGUCUUUUGGGUUGGUAUUUCAUCUUCUAUGUUGUCUUGAAAAUCAUUAGCAAUUUAGUGUCACUCAAGUGUAGAAGUUGAUAUUUUCACUAAAUCUCUAUAGAUUAUAUUAGUAAAAAGCUCGAUACAUACAAUUUGUAUGCAUUAACUAAAGGGGAAGUGUUAGAUAUAUUAUACAAGUGAGAUUAAUCCCAUACAUAAUUUUUUUCAUUAUAUUCAACAAAACCUAUGACAACUUAUCAAGUUUUAGUUUCUUCAAUCCUCAACAAGCAACAAUGCAUUAAGUUUAAUAGUCUUAAGAUUACUAAUGAACUAUAUUUUAUCCCUAAAUAUAAGCUCUAUUAAAUACUUAAUUUUAGUUUUAGGUUCAAAAGUCAUUUUGCAAUAUCUUAGUAACCAAUUAAGUCACAACAAGAAUUAAACAUAAAAAUCAAAUACCAAUAUAAGAAUGUAAAAGCAUGCGCGCGUACACACACACACACACACACACACACAUAUAUAUAUAUAUAUAUAUAUAUAUAUAUAUUAAUAACAAAAUAUACACAAAAAAUUAGUUUAGGGUUAAAUAUGUUUUUAUUCCCUAUACUAUCAAGCGGUUUUGGUUUUAGUCUCUCUUUCAAAGUAAGGUACAUUUUAGUCCUCCUUCCUAAGGAAACUUUAAUUUUAGUCCUCCAAAACUAACACCAUUAAAAACUAGCUGAUGUGGCUAACACUGUAAUGGCACGUCAUUUUUUUUUCUAACAUUAGUCAAUCUCCUUCAUUCGAAACCCAUGGACCACCACCAAGCCGCCAUCUGCACAUGGUUGUUGUUUCUCUGAUUGCAGGUGGCUUUUCACGGCAGCAAUUUAGGGCAUUUGGAGGUCGCGAUUUUUUGGUGUAUUUUCUGCAUUUUAGGUUACGAAGAUGGUGUCGCUGGUCAUGGGAGAUACUCGUUGAUGAAGACCGCGAGUGAAGGUGACUCUACUUCACGAUGGUGCUUAAUGGCGAAGGCAUGGUGGCGAGUCUGGAUUUGAGUUUUGUUGUAAGUGAUGGUGGAACAUGGAGCAGUUUUGUUGAGUCACGAUUUGCGACUUCUGUUUUGAAAUCUCUAUGCGAAGAAGAUGGAGGUCGAGGGUGAUGAACCCAUUGUGCUCUGGUGACAGCGGCCCAUGUUGAGGAUGCGAUUUUGGGUUCCCUUUUAUUCUGGGCUUCUGUGUUUUCUCUGACAGGUGCGAGAUCGAUGAUGACGCGAAGGUGGCAAGCUUCCUGGUGGCUGCCAUGGAGGAGAUUGAAUCUUGCGAUCUAGCGAAGAGAAACACGAUACUGGUUGCGCUCUGCGACAACUUAGUGGUGGUCCGAUGAAGAGUUUUUUGUUCGAAGGAUUUGGUGAAAACGAUGGAGGGAGCGGAAGAUGGAAGGAAGGAAACAGAAGGGAGAGAGGGGAGGGAGAAAAGCUGGGAAAAAUUAAGGUUUAAUACAUCUUUUGGUCCCAUCUUUUGGGACUUUUGUUCAAAAUGAUCCUACCUUCGGAAAAAAAUCACUUUGGUCCCAUAUUUCAUUAAAUGUUGUUCAAAAUGGUCCCUAUGGCAGACGACGUUAAAUUUUUAAUGGUGAAGUUGCUAGCGUGGCAAACGUCUAUCCACCUAUUUAAAAUUUAUAUCACGUGGCUUUUUGAAAACAUUUAAGGGUAAUUAAAAAACCCCUAAUUAAAAUCAAAUUAGAAAAUUAGGGUAGGUAAAAAACCCCUAACCCUAAUUGUUUUUCAAUUGUCGUGGAGAGAAGGCUCUGGGUUGUUCAUCUGCUGUUCAUUUGUCGCGAUUGGAGAUCACGUCAGUGGUGAUUGCUUGAAGGUGGUAGUUCAACAUUGACAGUUUUGACAAUUUUCUUACUGUCACUUUUCAUCAUCUUGUUUUUCUUCUUCUUAAUGUUGUAUUGCAGAGUUAAUUAAGCCCUGAAAUGAAAUUAACUCUAGUGGAGGGAAUCCACGAGUUUCCAGCAAUAAAAUUAGCAACAGUGAAUUUGGAAGCAUCUUCAACCUUAAGAACGUGAAAACCCUGCCACUGCACCCUCCCUGCGGUUCCAGCACCACCUCCUUCAUUGCCGUACUCCGCGAAAUACAAACUCUUCAAAACGGAGCUUCCAUACCCAGGCCACGCCACCCACCCUUUCGCCGCAAUCACUUCGUCGAUUCUACUCUGCAUCACCACCGAUCUCGAAUACUCCUUCCAGGGUCUCCCCAGAAACGAACUGUGCGACUGCUUAAAGUCCGAGGUCGGCGAUAUACUGCUCUUGUGAACGGAGAACCCAGUGUUCUGCCCGGGGUUAGAUCUAAAAACAAUUAGGGUUGGGGGUUUUUAAUUACCCUAAUUUUCUAAUUUGAUUUUAAUUAGGGGUUUUUUAAUUACCCUUAAAUGUUUUCAAAAAGUCACGUCAUAUAAAUUUUAAACAGGUGGAUAGACGUUUGCCACGCUAGCAACUUCACCGUUAAAAAUUUAACGUCGUCUGCCAUAGGGACCAUUUUGAACAACAUUUAAUGAAAUAUGAGACCAAAAGAUGUAUUAAACCAAAAAUUAACUAGUGUUAGAAAAAAAUGAUGUGCCAUUACACUGUUAGCUACAUCAGCUGGUUUUUAAUAACAUUAGUUUUGGAAGACUAAAAUUAAAAUUUAUUAAGAAAGAGGACUAAAAUAUACCUUACUUUAAAAUAUGAACUAAAACCAAAACCGCUGAUAAUAAAAUUGAAAUAAAUAAAUAAAUGUAAAAUAAAGUUUAUUUAUAACAAUGUAUCUUUAUUUUUUUGAUAGUUUAUUUAUACAAAGAAACACCCAUAAAAAUUGAAAUAAAGUUGGAAGUCCAUGGAUGACGUAAAAAGGCCUCAUUAUUUUAUUUUGGUUGUACAAGGGAAGCAAUGUAAAAUAUCUCUUCUUUUUUUUUCUCCACUACCCCACCCAAGGGAUCACACUAGCCACCACUAUAAAUUAUAAAUAUUAGCACAGCCUCUCUUACACACCUAACAUCUCUAGGGUUUGUGUCAAUGGCGGACGAAACUCACUAUUCAUCUCCCAAAGACUCUGCGCCCCUCAAACGCAAGUACGAAGACCAAUCCUCCGACAGGCCCACUGGCUUCUCGGCAGGUCCCGCCACCGGCAUCGAGCUCGCCAAGCAGCGUGCUCAAGAAGUUGCCGCCCGCCUCCUCAGCGUUGCUCCUCCUCCCCCGCUCGACGCCAAGCGUCCCAAAUCCGAUAACGGUGCUCCUACCUCCGGCUUCGAUUCUUAUGGUAACUAUCUGUCCCUCUCUGCUCCACACUUCUGCUCGUUUAGGUUAGGGUUUAUAAACUCUGAUUUCCGUGAACGUAGAUGCGAAGCCUCAGUACUCUGCUGUUCCUCCAGUCUCCUACAGUCACCAAGGAACGAGCAAGAAGAUUGAUAUCCCUAACGGCCGGGUUGGUGUGAUUAUUGGCAAAAGUGGAGAGACCAUUAAAUAUCUUCAGUUGCAGUCUGGUGCCAAAAUUCAAGUUACUCGCGAUAUGGACGCCGACCCUAAUUCUGCUACCAGGACCGUUGAGCUUAUGGGCACUCCCGAGGCAAUUGCCUCUGCAGAGAAACUCAUUAAUGAAGUUCUUGCCGAGGUUAAACUCAUUUUAUACUUCUCGUUUUCUUUUUCUGUCAAUCACAAAUGGACUAGAUUUCGUUUAUCUACCAAGGAGGAGUGUUUCCUGAUGAACUUCUCAAAUGUUUAAUUAUUGCAAUAUGUAUGAUGAUAACCUCUUCUAUACCAGGCUGAAUCUGGAGGCUCUGGCAUUGUUGCUCGAAGACUAACCGGACAAGCUGGGUCAGAUGAAUUUGUUAUGAGAAUCCCAAAUAAUAAGGUGUGAAAGGCAGAUUUGUUGAAGUGUAUGCUUUGUACAAUAUCAUAAGUGAUUCUCGAGUUCAGGUAUGUGGUUCUUCUGUCUGUUUGGAUUAAUAUGUUCAUUGUGGGCAUCUUCAGGUUGGCCUUAUUAUUGGAAAAGGUGGAGAAACCAUAAAGAAUAUGCAAGCUUCUACUGGCGCACGGAUUCAGGUUUUUACUUAUAAUUGAUACGACCGUAAUCUUAUUUGUGUAUUAGACAUAGGUGAUUUGCCGAUAUGGUGUUCUUUCUGUAGCCUUGAGAUUGCUACUAAUUUGAUAAGAGAUUGUGAUAACUGCCAACGCUCGGGACUUGGAAAUUUCUAUCGGAGUUCCUUGUGAUUAAUGUUCAUACGAUUAUUUCAGGUCAUACCUCUGCAUCUUCCUCCGGGUGACACAUCAACUGAAAGAACUUUAAAGAUUGAUGGGACACCUGAGCAAAUUGAGUCUGCAAAGGAGUUGGUUAAUCAAAUCAUCAGCGGCGAGGUAUGUUAAUGGUGCUUCCUUUUGCCACAGUUGGCUUAGGCAUAUCUACCUGGUUAAGCCAAGUCUAGUUCAGUGUUUACAAUUGUUGUUUUUCUACUUGAUUAUUCUACUUGAUUUUGUACCUGGUUAAGCCAAGUCUAGGUUAACUUACUUGCAAGCUUUAUGUGAUUGUUGUAUGAAUACUUUGUGCUUGUCAUUGCCUGUUGGACCUUUUUAUUUUUUUAUGAUAUUGAAAUAUAAAAUUAGAUCUGAUUGAUCCCUGUUGCUUGAUACAUGUUUUCUGUACUUUCUCCGAUUUGUUUCUUUACAGGUAAAAAGUUCGUUUGGUAAAUCAUGAGAUGGUUUUUACUUUAGUUUGCAUAAAUGAUUUUUAUUCUGUUCAUAUUAAUUAAUUUAUUGAUCUUAUUAAUGAUAUAUCAUAGCACUAUGACCAUUAUUACUUAACAGUGUAUAUUAUUGAUGUUUUCAUCUGGAAUGAAGAAGCUUAGCUGUAUGGCAAUUUUGAUGCGUAUUCUGGAUGCAUUGAUAUCUCUUCCAAAGCAGCUUAGCUGAUAGUGUCUGUUUAUGGAAGUAGUGAUUUCUUCAGAGUGUAAUGUGCCUUUGGCAAGUGGUUUCUAUAAUAUGAUACUUAAAUAUUGAUAUGACCUGUUACCUAUUGUGUUGUUCUCAAAAGAAAAUUAGUACAUUUAAUUUCAUAUUGUGCAAGUGUUUCAAGACUUUUACAAAGUAAUUCACUACGGUAGAAAAGAAACUAAGUCACUAGUGGCUGUUAUGAUGUUCUUGCUUGUAAUCUCCAACUCUCUUCAGUGUAACCUCAUCAGCUCGCCUUUUGGAAAUAUGUUUAGUGAGACCGUUCACUGCUAUAGCCGUCAUUUAUUAGUUGUAUUGUGGUGUGAACAACUGUAUAGUAUCUUGUUUUAUUAACAGUCUUGACAUACUAGCAAUAUGUGCCUUUCUUUAUGUUUAGCCUCGGAUUAGGUGAUGGUCAUUAACUUUCAGGGUCUUUCUAAUUAUGACUUGUAAACUGCGUACUUAUUUUGUGCAUGAGUAUUGUGCUCUGUAUAAUUAGCUAAUACGUCUUAUCCAUUAUCUCUUUUAUCCAUCCACAAACCAAUGACUUUGGUAGCAAUAUUUGAGAAUAGGCUCAGUUUUCUUGACUAAGAUACCAUACUUUUACAAAGACCUUAUUUUAACUGUGGUGUAGUUUUGCACCUGGCCCAGUGCUUUGGAGAGUUUCCUUUUUCGUUUUUAUUGGUUUAAAUCAGUGGGGGCUGCGAAGGCUACUGUUAUUAUGAAAUCUUUUGGUCCAGAUGGAUACUCAUUGAGAUUAUAGUCUCUCGACAUUGGAAUAUGCUUAUUAAUUGUGUAUCCUAUGACUGAUGUUGUUAUUGGGACUGUUGUAGGGUUAGUGUCUAUUGGACCAUUGGUGACACCAACAUGAAUCCAUUUGUUGGUGUUCCCUCAGCAUGCCCUGGUAUGGUUCUAAAUCUCAGUUUUGAUAUUUAUUAUCAAGGGCAGUAAGUCUCCUACUAUAUUUUUUGACUAUGGUGUCAUUAUUAGAUUGAAUAUUGAAUUAUAUUGAAAUAGUUUUCAACUACCAAGUGGUUUUCAGUUCAUUUCUCAAAAGAACCUUUAUGUACUUGGAAUAGUAUUUAUCCUCGUAUGUUAUACUGGACUUACAUUUGGCAUAGGUAAUCUGAGACGUGCCCAUUGUGCUGCACUUUAAUUAUUUUCUCUAUUCUAUUAUUUUUGUCCAGUUUUAAGUAGUAGUUUUCUUAACUAACCAGUUAUCUACAAGAUUUCUGCUAAGAUUUGUCUGUUGUACAUUUUGUGCUACUUCUAUUCUGCUUCAUCAUUCCUCUAUUUUCUUUUUCUUAUUAGUUAUCAACUUAAAUAAUAUUUAAUUUGAACUUUGAAUUCGUGAUCCUGAGGUUGAAUUAUUAGAUUGGGUUGUACAGAGGUUGAGAGAGGAUGUACAUGGGAGCACAAAAUAAUUGCCUCGACAGUCUGUAUAUUUGUAUUUAGAGUUGAGCCUUCAUCUUAAUACAUUGUUAAAUAUCUGUAGUUCCAGUCAGACUUGUUGAAUUAAUAUGAAUACAAGUAUUAUAUUGUAUAUUGAAUAGCGUAACAAUUGGAGUAAGAUCUUGCAUAUUUUGAGAUACUAUAUGACGGAUUGCCUUUUCAAGGCAAUAAAUAUUGAAUGCUUGUUUGCUUCUAUGGUCUGUGCUUUCUCUUGUACCCAUCCAAUUCGAAUAGGGAAAGGGUGUGCUUCUGCUGGAGUAACUCAGUUUUAUCACGAACCAGUACGGUAUGUAGGUAUUCAUAUCCCUUUCUGAUCUUGUAUGCAACCUGUUAAUGCAAGAUAACAUACCCUUUAUAUCGUGUUCAUUAUAUGUUGAUUUCUGCAUUUGUAGGUUUAACCUGUGUACGUGUGCAUAUGUUGCUUUCUGUACUUGUCUGAUGUAGAAACUUGGGUGAAUUCACUCCCUUUAUUUUUGUUUUCUAUUUGUCUGCACAGAAUCGACUUAGAAAUCCUUCAAUGUCUGGUGGGUAUCCUCAGCAAGGCUACCAAUCUCGACCACCCUCUAACUGGGGUCCCCCCGCACCAAUGCAGCAACCUGGUUAUGGCUAUGUUCAACCUGGAGCAUAUUCUGGUCCAUCACCUCAAUAUAACAUGCCUCAGCCACCAUAUUCAGGCUAUCCUCCCCAACAACCAGGUGGAUAUUCCACCAAUUGGGACCAGUCUUCUGCACCACCUCACCAACAGUCUACUCAUGCUGGUGGCUAUGAUUACUAUAGUCAACAACCACAACCGCAAAAUCCUGGAGGUCCUGCACCUCCAGCUGACGGCUCUGCAUACAAUUAUAGUCAACCACCUUCAUCUGCUUAUAGCCAACCGGGACAGGGUUAUGCUCAGGACAGCUAUAAUGCAUAUAAUGCACAAUCUCAUUCGGGGUAUGGACAACCACCAACGUAUGAUCAGCAACAAGGCUAUGGCUCCGUUACUGGCUAUGGUAGUGGGAAUAACCAAGCACAAGAGGGCCACACUUCGGGCUAUGCAUCGCAGGGAGAUUCAGCCCCAGCUCCAUCAACCCAACCGACCACCAUUGCACAGCAAGGUUAUCCUACCAGCCAACAGCCCAGCUCAAACACUUCCAACUACCCACCUCAGGGAACUCCUCAGUCGGGUUAUGGCGUCCCCCCUACAUCCCAAGCUGCUUAUGGAAGUCAACCACAACCAGGUUAUGGUCCUGGUUAUGGAGCCCCUCAAUCUCAGAAACCAAGUGGCAAUCCUUCUGUUUAUGGACAGUCGCAGUCACCUAGUGCAGUAGGAGGCUAUGGUCAGUCAGCAUAUCCUGCGCAGCCUCCACCUUCUGGUUAUACUCAACCCCAAGCAGAAACUGGUGCUCAGAGAGCACCUCCGUCGGGCUAUGGUGCAGGGCAACCAGGUUAUGGUUCUCAAGCAUAUGGUGCACCUCAGGGAGGCCAGCCUGCUUAUGGACAGGCGCCGCCUCCAUACACCAACAGUUCUUAUGGUGCUGGUUAUACUCAGGCUCCGGCCUAUACUGGCGAUGGUAAUGGCAGUGGGAAUACUCAGCCUCCCCAAACAACUGCUGCUAAAACUUCGCCCCAGACUUGAUAUUUUCCCCCCUCCCUCUUUUUCAUGGACUUCUUUUUAGUCGUGUUUUGUAGUUGUUUAUUCUACUAGCGAUACCCACCUAUGUAGCGUUGCAAUGUUUAGAUGUAAGGGUUCGUGUACUGAAAUUUCCUACAUGUUGAAUAUUUUUGUAUGGUUAAAUUGGAUCUCAUGGUGAUGGCAUUUGAAAAAAAUGGGGAACUUAAUUUAAGUUGCCAAACUAUGUGUCGAUUUUCAUCUAAUUUUUAGUGAGUUCAACUGAC
RNAcentral lists this long non-coding RNA (42573 nucleotides) under Vigna radiata. Its description in RNAcentral is "long non-coding RNA (VRAD_LNC003875)". Lineage: Eukaryota; Viridiplantae; Streptophyta; Magnoliopsida; Fabales; Fabaceae. The record is from RNAcentral.